CGCGGGGUGGAGCAGCUCGGUAGCUCGCUGGGCUCAUAACCCAGAGGUCAGAGGUUCAAAUCCUCUCCCCGCUA
Molecule: transfer RNA, 74 nt
Filed under: Planosporangium flavigriseum
Lineage: Bacteria; Bacillati; Actinomycetota; Actinomycetes; Micromonosporales; Micromonosporaceae
Also listed under: 3 other names
Rfam family: tRNA
About the family: Transfer RNA (tRNA) molecules are approximately 80 nucleotides in length. Their secondary structure includes four short double-helical elements and three loops (D, anti-codon, and T loops).
Source: Rfam by way of RNAcentral